UACGUAGGGUGCAAGCGUUAAUCGGAAUUACUGGGCGUAAAGCGUGCGCAGGCGGUCUUGCAAGACAGAUGUGAAAUCCCCGGGCUUAACCUGGGAACUGCAUUUGUGACUGCAUGGCUGGAGUGCGGCAGAGGGGGAUGGAAUUCCGCGUGUAGCAGUGAAAUGCGUAGAUAUGCGGAGGAACACCGAUGGCGAAGGCAAUCCCCUGGGCCUGCACUGACGCUCAUGCACGAAAGCGUGGGGAGCAAACAGG
RNAcentral lists this ribosomal RNA (253 nucleotides) under uncultured bacterium. RNAcentral's name for it is "partial 16S ribosomal RNA". It matches the Rfam family "Bacterial small subunit ribosomal RNA", at positions 524 to 776 of the family's 1533-position model. The record is from RNAcentral.